This 2670-nucleotide long non-coding RNA is filed under the name Rattus norvegicus (Norway rat). RNAcentral's name for it is "long non-coding RNA NONRATT033914". The record is from RNAcentral. Lineage: Eukaryota; Metazoa; Chordata; Mammalia; Rodentia; Muridae.
AGGAGGAGGAGUUAAGCUGCCUCACUGCAGGGGACCCUGUACACUGAAAUGAUGUUGGAGAAUUCACCAGGACCUUGCCUUCCUAGGUACCAGUUCCCUAAACAUGGCCUGACUUCACACCUGGAAGAAGAGGCACCACAAGCAACAGAGGAAGACAGUGAUGCAGUAAUGUGGAGAAGUCCUGAGAGGAGACCUGAAGAACUAGUCCCAGGGCAGAGCUUCCCCUGCAGAGGAACCAGCCACAGGGCAGGAAUGGAGGACCUACCCGUGGACAACUUCUGACAUGUCUGUGUUGGGAUCUUCUCUGAUGACACACCGGAAUUGCACCAGGACGCUCAGAAACAGCAGGGUUUUGGUGAGUGCUAUACCGGUGAGCCACCCUGGGACCUUUGUGCCAGGGAAACAAGCCUGUAAAGAGCUUCGAUUUUGGCAGCCUUCCAGGAAAUGACCCCCAGUAUCGAUCUCCGGGAGCCUGCACUAGCUCCAAGCCAGGACCGUGUCACAUGUAAACUUUGCAAAAGAAUCUUCAGCAGCCAAGUAGGUCUCAGGAGACAUGAGCUAUCCUACAGCCGAAAGAGGCCUUUUAGAUGUGCACAGUGCAUUGAUACCACACAGCUCUCGUGCUAUGCCUCAACAGACACCUGAUGUUCUGGUGAGUGUUAACACCACGUCUGUUCUAUGCCACGAGGAAGGGUUCGUGAAACAGCAAAAUCUUUUAUUGUUCCCACCACAUAAGUGGAGUCGCUGAUUGAUCAGGACAGCAAAUGAGGACUGGAACCUUGUUUCUUCUGGCAGCCAGGGUUUAUAGGCAUAAAGACUGCAAGCAUCUGGCCCAGGUUAAAGUUAUAAUUCUCACCAAUCAGGAUUCGGGGAUUAGGGACUUUCCCCAGUGUUCCAUCGUUGUCAACUGACAUUGAAUGUUAAGUGGUUUUAUCCAACCAGUCAAAUUUAUUUGUUCUUUCUGUUGUUAGGAACAGGUAUUAUGUUUUGGGGGGACCAUUGCUGCUUAGAGAGGGAGUUGGUUAGCUUAGGUAAAAUGAAGUCUGAAGUUAAAAUGGUAGUAUAUAAGACAUGUUUUGAUUUGGUUUGGUCUGGUUUUACCUGUUCCAUGUUCCCAGCAGUGAGAAGUCUCUGAUGGGCAGUAAAGAUAAGAAUUCCCUGCACUAAGUAGGCAGCCGGGGGCCAGGCAGCAUGUGGGGGCUGGGACACAGCUUGCAGAGCCCAUGUAGCAAAGCUGUGCACCUCUCUCAGCAUCCCAAAGCCCACAAGGUAGCCAAGUCCCAUUUCUCCGAGUUCUACCACAAGAUGCAUGCUGUCCACUAAGAGCAGAGACAAGACCACAUGGGGAGAGAGCCUGACACCGUUGUGACUGUAGCAGAAUGUUCAGGCAGAGCUCCUAUCUUAUUGAUCACUUCUAAGUUCAGGCCUCACCAGUUGCCAUCCCUCUAGGAAGAGCUUCAGCCAACCCUCAUGGCCUCCUCAGCACUAGCAGCUGCAGCCUCAAGAGAGACAGGUGCAGACACAGGACAGCUGCUGUUCAGAAAGCCAGAGAGCAACACUGUCCUAACACGUCGGCUUUCUCCUGCAGAGCAGUGUCUUUCAACCUUCCUAAUGCUACAACCCUUUAAUAUAGUUCUUUGUGUUGUGGUGACCCCCAACCAUAAAAUUAUUUUUGUUGCUACUUUAUAGCUGUAAAGAUGCUACCAUUAUGAAUCUUGAUGUAAAUAUAUAUUUUCUGAUGGCGUUAGGUUAAUCAUUAUGAAGGGGUCAUUUGAACCCCACCCCCACAAAGGUGUUGGGACCCACAGGUUGAGAACUGCUGCUGGGGAGAGACCUUUUGAGUGCCUGAAUUUGAAAAGGCCCUCUACCAGGCCUUGUAAACUUGAAAAUUUGGUGUGAUGGGGUCAAAACUUUUGUAAGGAGGAGUCUCCAAUGCUUUAGGUGUCUCACAGGCAAAAACCAUUCAAAGAGUGUUUCUGUUAUAUAGGAAAGAAGUGCAAAGAUUUUGCCUCAUUUUAUUUGGUAGGGAGAGGGAGAGCCUUGGUUGUAACAUAUUGGUGAAAAGCUUACUUUUGAUGGUUGGAUUCUAAACUGGCAGUCUAUAUAUAGCCUGGGUUCCCACAGAAGUGUUAACAUGAAGUGUCUCGACACAUGGCAUAGAAGAAUUUCAGGGAUCUUAACCUCAAUCAGUCCCCUCUCAGAGCCGAUGUUAAUGAUGUGUUGUCAUGGUACCCCCAUUCUUUAUAAAAAUGUGUGACCUUCCUUGCCCAUGUAUAACUCUAUGAAGGCAAAUGGAGCAGAGACAGUGCAGGAGGGAUUGUGAAGCCCUGUGAAUAUGUACAGUAAUGAUGACACACUGGGAUGAACUGCGGGGUGAUAGACCAACUUUACUUGGGGCAAUUAAACGAUUAUAUAGUUCUGGGGUUGGAGGGGACAGAUGAACUUUACUUGGGGUGAUUCAAGGAUUAUAUAGUUCUGGGAAUAGGAGUGUCCAGGGUGGGCAAAGGUCAUUGGCUGAAGGUGUAAGGUUCUGAGAUGCCUCAUUAGCAUGAAGAACCAUUCCCCAGAAUCUCAAGCACUACCAGAAUGGGUUCUUAACAGGAAAAAGGAAGUUGAACCUGUAAUCUAACCAAAGCUACAUGACAUUCUGUAGGUAGAGGCAUGUGUGGG